UACGUAGGGGGCAAGCGUUAUCCGGAUUUACUGGGUGUAAAGGGAGCGUAGACGGCGAUGCAAGUCUGAAGUGAAAGGCGGGGGCCCAACCCCCGGACUGCUUUGGAAACUGUAUAGCUGGAGUGCAGGAGAGGUAAGUGGAAUUCCUAGUGUAGCGGUGAAAUGCGUAGAUAUUAGGAGGAACACCAGUGGCGAAGGCGGCUUACUGGACUGUAACUGACGCUGAGGCUCGAAAGCGUGGGGAGCAAACAGG
This 253-nucleotide ribosomal RNA is filed under the name uncultured bacterium. RNAcentral's name for it is "partial 16S ribosomal RNA". It matches the Rfam family "Bacterial small subunit ribosomal RNA", at positions 524 to 776 of the family's 1533-position model. The record is from RNAcentral.